CCAGUCUGAGUUCUCUGCAUAAGCAUAUGAAAAUCCAUCAUGUUCAGCAAAAUGCCUUGGUGUUUCUUAAUGUAAGCAAGUAAAAAAAACCAAACAAACCAGACCAUAAAUACUGUACCAUACAACAAUGCCCAGCUAACAGCACAUGAGGUAGAUUCUUCAACACCAGAAUUAAAUUGGGUAAAUUCCUUACUACCAUGUCCAUCCUGCUUCCAUGUGGCUUCCACUACUUUUAACACUUUUGCUUACUUGAAGGAAUAUACAGGAUGAUCCACAGAUAAGGAAUCUACAGUCGGCAAAUGGAAGAGGGUGACGGCGCUAGAAACUCAGUUGAGCAGCCCCAAACUAUCCAGAAUGUACACAUAGUAACAACACAGGAAGGGCAGUCUACUCAUCCUUCUGGGAGCCGGAGAACUGCUGCCGAACACCCGGCCGUGGAUUCCCCAUUGCUACCCCAGGUUCCUGUAGGCGAGAAUGUUACUGGGGAGCGAGCGCAAUGCUCUGCGAGAGGAGAACCAGCUAUACAUCUUCCCCCACCCAUUCAGGAUUCGACGCUGGCAACAUGUCAGCACAUUGUUGGUCUCCUUGGACAAAUCACUGAUCAGCAGGACAGCAUCAUGAGAGAACUGCGGGUCAUGCGCAGAGAGAUGCGGCUUUUGAAAGGUGAACAGCGCCGGACCACUGCCAG
This 688-nucleotide long non-coding RNA is filed under the name Podarcis muralis (Common wall lizard). RNAcentral's name for it is "lncRNA (ENSPMRG00000008428.1)". Lineage: Eukaryota; Metazoa; Chordata; Lepidosauria; Squamata; Lacertidae. The record is from RNAcentral.